GUCCAUCCUCCGCGCAGGGUCAUUCCGACCGCACCUCCGGC
RNAcentral lists this small RNA (41 nucleotides) under Aspergillus fumigatus Af293. Its description in RNAcentral is "Aspergillus fumigatus sRNA Afu3g07169". Lineage: Eukaryota; Fungi; Ascomycota; Eurotiomycetes; Eurotiales; Aspergillaceae. The record is from RNAcentral.